This 417-nucleotide ribosomal RNA is filed under the name uncultured bacterium. RNAcentral describes it as "bacterial SSU rRNA". It matches the Rfam family "Bacterial small subunit ribosomal RNA", at positions 917 to 1338 of the family's 1533-position model. The record is from RNAcentral.
GGGCCCGCACAAGCGGUGGAGCAUGUGGUUUAAUUCGAUGCAACGCGAAGAACCUUACCAGGACUUGACAUACUACAAAUUCUUUUGAGAAAAAGAAGUGCCUUCGGGAAUGUAGAUACAGGUGGUGCAUGGCUGUCGUCAGCUCGUGUCGUGAGAUGUUGGGUUAAGUCCCGCAACGAGCGCAACCCUUAUUUUUAGUUACCAAUUCGUUGGGUUCUCUAGAAAGACUGCCGGUGACAAACCGGAGGAAGGUGAGGAUGACGUCAAGUCAGCAUGCCCCUUAUGUCCUGGGCUACACACGUGCUACAAUGGUUAAGACAAAGAGUCGCGAGCUCGUGAGAGCUAGCAAAUCCCAUAAACCGUGGCUCAGUUCAGAUCGUAGGCUGCAACUCGCCUACGUGAAGGAGGAAUCGCUAG